GUGGAUUAGAUACCCUGGUAGUCCACGCCGUAAACGAUGGGCACUAGGCGCUUGGGGGAGCGACCCCCCGAGGGCCGGCGCUAACGCAUUAAGUGCCCCGCCUGGGGAGUACGGCCGCAAGGCUGAAACUCAAAGGAAUUGACGGGGGCCCGCACAAGCGGUGGAGCAUGUGGUUUAAUUCGACGCAACGCGAAGAACCUUACCUAGGCUUGACAUACACGGGAAAGCCCUCAGAAAAGGGGGCCCCUCUUCGGAGCCCGUGCACAGGUGCUGCAUGGUUGUCGUCAGCU
Molecule: ribosomal RNA, 290 nt
Filed under: uncultured bacterium
Lineage: Bacteria
Description: partial 16S ribosomal RNA
Rfam family: Bacterial small subunit ribosomal RNA
Source: RNAcentral